UACGAAGGGGGCUAGCGUUGUUCGGAAUUACUGGGCGUAAAGCGCGCGUAGGCGGUUUUGCAAGCCAGAGGUGAAAUGCCUGAGCUCAACUUAGGAAUUGCCUUUGGGACUGCGAGGCUUUGAGGACUGGAGAGGUGAGUGGAAUUCCCAGUGUAGAGGUGAAAUUCGUAGAUAUUGGGAAGAACACCGGUGGCGAAGGCGGCUCACUGGCCAGUUUCUGACGCUGCAGCGCGAAAGCGUGGGGAGCAAACAGG
RNAcentral lists this ribosomal RNA (254 nucleotides) under uncultured bacterium. Its description in RNAcentral is "partial 16S ribosomal RNA". It matches the Rfam family "Bacterial small subunit ribosomal RNA", at positions 524 to 776 of the family's 1533-position model. The record is from RNAcentral.